This 75-nucleotide transfer RNA is filed under the name Rhodanobacter sp. RNAcentral describes it as "tRNA-Lys". It matches the Rfam family "tRNA". Rfam says of the family: Transfer RNA (tRNA) molecules are approximately 80 nucleotides in length. Their secondary structure includes four short double-helical elements and three loops (D, anti-codon, and T loops). The record is from RNAcentral. RNAcentral also lists the same sequence under 6 other names. Lineage: Bacteria; Pseudomonadati; Pseudomonadota; Gammaproteobacteria; Lysobacterales; Rhodanobacteraceae.
GGGCCGUUAGCUCAGCGGUAGAGCAGUGGACUUUUAAUCCAUUGGUCGAAGGUUCGAUCCCUUCACGGCCCACCA